RNAcentral lists this unclassified non-coding RNA (238 nucleotides) under uncultured fungus. Its description in RNAcentral is "sequence contains ITS1". Lineage: Eukaryota; Fungi. The record is from RNAcentral.
GUUUCAAUUGUAGGCAGAUCAGAGUCCGCUUCACAUUCUUUUGAACUGGAGUCUAUUUGUAUGCGGCUUCAGACGCCGUGGGCGCCCUCUGGCCGUAAAGGAGCACAGUGGGGUUUGUGGGUUGUGAGUCGGGGACAGCCUGCCCGCUGCGACGGCCCCGUUUGGGACCGGAGCGGGACGCGGCCAAACCCUCCUCGGAGAUACGUUAAUGAUCCUUCCGCAGGUUCACCUACGGAAA